AGCGAACGCUGGCGGCAGGCUUAACACAUGCAAGUCGAACGGGCAUAGCAAUAUGUCAGUGGCAGACGGGUGAGUAACGCGUGGGAACGUACGUUUUGGUUCGGAACAACACAGGGAAACUUGUGCUAAUACCGGAUAAGCCCUUACGGGGAAAGAUUUAUCGCCGAAAGAUCGGCCCGCGUCUGAUUAGCUAGUUGGUAGGGUAAUGGCCUACCAAGGCGACGAUCAGUAGCUGGUCUGAGAGGAUGAUAAGCCACAUUGGGACUGAGACACGGCCCAAACUGCUACGGAAGGCAGCAGAAGGGAAUAUUGGACAAUGGGCGAAAGCCUGACCCAGCCAUGCCGGGUGAGUGAUGAAGGGCGUAGGGUUGUAAAGCUCUUUUGUGCGGGAAGAUAAUGACGGUACCGGAAGAAUAAGCCCCGGCUAACUUCGUG
RNAcentral lists this ribosomal RNA (435 nucleotides) under uncultured bacterium. RNAcentral's name for it is "partial 16S ribosomal RNA". It matches the Rfam family "Bacterial small subunit ribosomal RNA", at positions 29 to 507 of the family's 1533-position model. The record is from RNAcentral.